Long non-coding RNA from Humulus lupulus (European hop), 1639 nucleotides. RefSeq lists it as uncharacterized. NCBI's taxonomy places the organism in Eukaryota, Viridiplantae, Streptophyta, Magnoliopsida, Rosales, Cannabaceae. The record is from RefSeq and is a predicted model, not a curated record. The transcript has 4 exons.
GCUCAUUUGGGACCGUCAUCCUAGAGGGAAGGAGAGAGAGAGAGAGUAGGUGUUUUCUAGAGAGAGAAGAAGAAAGAAGAGAGGACCAAAUCUCUCUAUAGAUUUGAGCAAGGUGGUGACCAUAGUUGGUUCUUGUGUUCUCUCAAGGAAGGCUCGUUGUGAAGUUUGUCAGUUUUGCUUUUCUUGGACCUGAGCGUGAUGAACGCGACAGAACAAAGGGGUUACUAAGGAUGUGAAGACGUAACUUGAGUUACUAAGGAUAUAAAGACGCAACUCAUAGGGCGAACGCGCCGAGGUUAUUCAAGGACCAAAGAUCCUGUUUACCUUAAGAUAUGUUCACAAGUAUAUGUUGAUGAUGCUUAUGAUGAUAAUGUUAUGAUGAUUAUGUAUAUGAUGAUGAUGUUUAUGAUGAUAAUGCUUAUAAUGGUUAUGUUUAUGAUGAUUAUGCUUAUGAUGAUGGUGGUUAUGAUAAGAAUGUUUAUGAUGUGUAACAAUGUAUGAAUUUGAAUAUGUUUUGUGUGUAUACUUGUGUGUUAUUUGUACUUCCUUACUGGGCUUUUAGCUCACCCCCUUACUUUCCCUUCUAGGUAGAAAAUAGGAUUUCUCUGUGGCUCAUGUGGUGAUGUGGGAAGUUCCAACGUCGGGGUGUGUAUGGCGUGGGGGCAUCCUAUGGAUGAGAAAACAAUCAGUUUAAUGCCAAUUUCUAAACAAUACUGUUAUGUUUAUUUUUAACUUUUAGAACUUAUCAGUGAGACUUGAACUUUAAUUAUUUUUAAAACGUUGCAUUAAAACUAUUAUUUUCUUUUUAAACUAUUAGGCCCAACUUGCAUGUUUUUAGCAUGGCCCCACUGAGACUUUUAUAAUAAGUGGAUUUUCUUCUAUAAACUUAUGAGCAUGAAAAUAGUUUACACGGUAUUAGACUAGGGCGUUUUACAGAGUGGUACCACUGAACUAAGAAGAUAGAGAGGAACAAUACCCCACCAAAGGAUCGUCCUCAACCGUGGCUGGAGAAAAUGCGGAUAGUUCAUGGAGGUCUGAGACUUUUUGGCUCCAAUUCGACCAUUUUGGACCACUCCACGAAGAACCACCACCACCAUGAUGCUCCCCGAGUCUUUAUCUUCGAAGCCUAGUCCCUGUUUUCCAGUACCACCAUCGUGGAGUGGUGGCGCCACCACCAUUGCUAGAGCUCUGAUAGAGGGUCUCAGCUAUCCACUAUUUGUGGUGUUCCGGAGUUCAUUUUUGAACUCUAAAGCUCACCAUCAAACCUAUUUUUGAACACCUGAGCGUGUCGGUAUAAUUUCUAACCAAACUUUUGAAUUUUUGAGUUUUUAGAAAUUAAUUGCGAUUUAGGAAAUUAAAUGAAAUUAUGUAUGUUUCUAGUAUGUUAUGAGUUAAUUAGCAUAAUGACUUGCUCUGUGAUUUUCUGGACUGUCUGAGAAUGUUAUAUGUUGUGUUUGCAGGUUUUUAAAAUUUGGAGAAUGUCCAAUUUGCAGCCGUUAUGCUGCUCGAUUUUCUAGAAAGUUAACGAACUUGUAUUUACUAAUUUUUAUAAAAUCACUUGAUAUUUUAGAAUCAAUUAGAAUAGAGAUUUCUAAAGAUUAUCGAUUUAUGAAUAUAAUUUAUGGGUUAUAUUCUAAUA